Non-coding RNA from Aspergillus hancockii, 85 nucleotides. The record is from the annotation of a GenBank genome assembly. NCBI's taxonomy places the organism in Eukaryota, Fungi, Ascomycota, Eurotiomycetes, Eurotiales, Aspergillaceae.
GCUCCUAUGGCUCAGUUGGUAGAGCGCAUGACUAGUACUGAAUAAGUCGAUCAUGAGGUCCGCGGUUCAAAUCCGCGUGGGAGCA